RNAcentral lists this ribosomal RNA (2892 nucleotides) under Enterobacter cloacae. RNAcentral's name for it is "bacterial LSU rRNA". It matches the Rfam family "Bacterial large subunit ribosomal RNA". The record is from RNAcentral. Lineage: Bacteria; Pseudomonadati; Pseudomonadota; Gammaproteobacteria; Enterobacterales; Enterobacteriaceae.
GGGUUGUGAGGUUAAGCGACUAAGCGUACACGGUGGAUGCCCUGGCAGUCAGAGGCGAUGAAGGACGUGCUAAUCUGCGAAAAGCGCCGGCGAGGUGAUAUGAACCUUUGACCCGGCGAUGUCCGAAUGGGGAAACCCAGUGUGUUCCGACACACUAUCGUUAACUGAAUACAUAGGUUAACGAGGCGAACCGGGGGAACUGAAACAUCUAAGUACCCCGAGGAAAAGAAAUCAACCGAGAUUCCCCCAGUAGCGGCGAGCGAACGGGGAGCAGCCCGGAGUCUGAAUCAGCUUGUGUGUUAGUGGAACGGUCUGGAAAGUCCGACGGUACAGGGUGAUAGUCCCGUACACGAAAAUGCACAUGCUGUGAACUCGAAGAGUAGGGCGGGACACGUGGUAUCCUGUCUGAAUAUGGGGGGACCAUCCUCCAAGGCUAAAUACUCCUGACUGACCGAUAGUGAACCAGUACCGUGAGGGAAAGGCGAAAAGAACCCCGGCGAGGGGAGUGAAAAAGAACCUGAAACCGUGUACGUACAAGCAGUGGGAGCACCUUCGGGUGUGACUGCGUACCUUUUGUAUAAUGGGUCAGCGACUUAUAUUCUGUAGCAAGGUUAACCGUAUAGGGGAGCCGAAGGGAAACCGAGUCUUAACUGGGCGUUAAGUUGCAGGGUAUAGACCCGAAACCCGGUGAUCUAGCCAUGGGCAGGUUGAAGGUUGGGUAACACUAACUGGAGGACCGAACCGACUAAUGUUGAAAAAUUAGCGGAUGACCUGUGGCUGGGGGUGAAAGGCCAAUCAAACCGGGAGAUAGCUGGUUCUCCCCGAAAGCUAUUUAGGUAGCGCCUCGUGAACUCAUCUUCGGGGGUAGAGCACUGUUUCGGCUAGGGGGCCAUCCCGGCUUACCAACCCGAUGCAAACUACGAAUACCGAAGAAUGUUAUCACGGGAGACACACGGCGGGUGCUAACGUCCGUCGUGAAGAGGGAAACAACCCAGACCGCCAGCUAAGGUCCCAAAGUCAUGGUUAAGUGGGAAACGAUGUGGGAAGGCACAGACAGCCAGGAUGUUGGCUUAGAAGCAGCCAUCAUUUAAAGAAAGCGUAAUAGCUCACUGGUCGAGUCGGCCUGCGCGGAAGAUGUAACGGGGCUAAACCAUGCACCGAAGCUGCGGCAGCGACGCUUAUGCGUUGUUGGGUAGGGGAGCGUUCUGUAAGCCGUUGAAGGUGUGCUGUGAGGCAUGCUGGAGGUAUCAGAAGUGCGAAUGCUGACAUAAGUAACGAUAAAGCGGGUGAAAAGCCCGCUCGCCGGAAGACCAAGGGUUCCUGUCCAACGUUAAUCGGGGCAGGGUGAGUCGACCCCUAAGGCGAGGCCGAAAGGCGUAGUCGAUGGGAAACAGGUUAAUAUUCCUGUACUUGGUGUUACUGCGAAGGGGGGACGGAGAAGGCUAUGUCAGCCGGGCGACGGUUGUCCCGGUUUAAGCAUGUAGGCGGAGGUUCCAGGUAAAUCCGGUACCUUAUUAACGCUGAGGUGUGAUGACGAGGCACUACGGUGCUGAAGUGAUAAAUGCCCUGCUUCCAGGAAAAGCCUCUAAGCAUCAGGUAACACGAAAUCGUACCCCAAACCGACACAGGUGGUCAGGUAGAGAAUACCAAGGCGCUUGAGAGAACUCGGGUGAAGGAACUAGGCAAAAUGGUGCCGUAACUUCGGGAGAAGGCACGCUGAUAUGUAGGUGAAGCCCCUGCGGGCGGAGCUGAAAUCAGUCGAAGAUACCAGCUGGCUGCAACUGUUUAUUAAAAACACAGCACUGUGCAAACACGAAAGUGGACGUAUACGGUGUGACGCCUGCCCGGUGCCGGAAGGUUAAUUGAUGGGGUUAGCGGCAACGCGAAGCUCUUGAUCGAAGCCCCGGUAAACGGCGGCCGUAACUAUAACGGUCCUAAGGUAGCGAAAUUCCUUGUCGGGUAAGUUCCGACCUGCACGAAUGGCGUAAUGAUGGCCAGGCUGUCUCCACCCGAGACUCAGUGAAAUUGAACUCGCUGUGAAGAUGCAGUGUACCCGCGGCAAGACGGAAAGACCCCGUGAACCUUUACUAUAGCUUGACACUGAACACUGGUCCUUGAUGUGUAGGAUAGGUGGGAGGCUUUGAAGCGUGGACGCCAGUCUGCGUGGAGCCGCCCUUGAAAUACCACCCUUUAAUGGCUGGUGUUCUAACGUAGACCCGUGAUCCGGGUUGCGGACAGUGUCUGGUGGGUAGUUUGACUGGGGCGGUCUCCUCCCAAAGAGUAACGGAGGAGCACGAAGGUUGGCUAAUCCUGGUCGGACAUCAGGAGGUUAGUGCAAUGGCAUAAGCCAGCUUGACUGCGAGCGUGACGGCGCGAGCAGGUGCGAAAGCAGGUCAUAGUGAUCCGGUGGUUCUGAAUGGAAGGGCCAUCGCUCAACGGAUAAAAGGUACUCCGGGGAUAACAGGCUGAUACCGCCCAAGAGUUCAUAUCGACGGCGGUGUUUGGCACCUCGAUGUCGGCUCAUCACAUCCUGGGGCUGAAGUAGGUCCCAAGGGUAUGGCUGUUCGCCAUUUAAAGUGGUACGCGAGCUGGGUUUAGAACGUCGUGAGACAGUUCGGUCCCUAUCUGCCGUGGGCGCUGGAGAAUUGAGGGGGGCUGCUCCUAGUACGAGAGGACCGGAGUGGACGCAUCACUGGUGUUCGGGUUGUCAUGCCAAUGGCACUGCCCGGUAGCUAAAUGCGGAAGAGAUAAGUGCUGAAAGCAUCUAAGCACGAAACUUGCCCCGAGAUGAGUUCUCCCUGAGACCUUGAGUCUCCUGAAGGAACGUUGAAGACGACGACGUUGAUAGGUCGGGUGUGUAAGCGCAGCGAUGCGUUGAGCUAACCGAUACUA